UCCCUUCGUCCCUCUCGACUCGGGAGACGAAUCUGUAGCGCCGCCGCCAUCCCCGUUGUCCCUGUCGCCGCUUAUCCUCCUCGCUGCUGCAGCGCAUCCUCUUCUCUCUUUGCCAUGUGAUUUGCUUGAAUCCCAAACGGGGAAACCCCUAGCUCACGCCUCACAGUUGCGCGAGGCAAAGGUCACGAGCACCUCCUGUUGGCGAUGGAAACGAACAGGCCCGGUCCUAGAGGGGGGCGAUCAGGGCGGCCACGGCUCUGCCUCUUCCAUGCGACUGGCAACGGCUAUGGAGGCGCGGCACCUUCUCCACGCUCUCGCAAUCCUCCCGCUCGCAAACUCGGGUUGCGGUCUUGCGGACACCACCUCUGCCAGUAAGGGCAGGACCGCAGUGGACAACAUGGUGCCUUCUCCUAUGGGGCAGACCGGCAGCGGCCAAUCCAACCCAGAUCCGUUGGUUUCAGCAGAUAUAGAGAUCACUAUAGGUCAUCUCCCCUCUUGCUCCUUUUCUCCUCAAAUACACAUUUCCAUAAGAAAAUAGAUUGUUGUUUACUUCUUACAGCUCCAGUGGUGCAAUAUUUUUGAGAUCUACAUUGUUUUCUGUCGAUUGGCCUGUUGAUUUUGAGUUUAACAUGCAUGGGCGUCAAGUCUUGACAACUGACAGUGGACAUGGAUAGGGAAGCUUCGGCCAAGAGUGUGGUCAAGCUUGGUACUGUUCUGGUAACCCAUUGAAACUUCUUGUAUUCAAUGGUCUGGGACAUAGCGGCCACGGAUGAGGGAUGACACCCCAUCCUAACACUCUCAGGAGAUGAGGAUCAGUGCCCUGGCCGUGCAUGCGCCCACGAACAAAUCACAUAGGCGAGCAGGUCGUCUCAUUUCUGCCUCCACCCGUGCUAGACACGCAAAUUCGUCCAAGGCCCCAUCUGGUUGUUGUAUUGGCAGAGAAAAAAAGGUAGCCUAUAGGAUAGCUAUCUUUGCAAAUGCUCUGCCAGAAGGCCAAUUGAUCAGUAUAUUUUCUUCCUAUUCCAUCUCUGAUUAGUGCCAGUUACUUCUGGCAUGGAGCUCGUGCACAAGUUAAAGUUCAGUUUAGCAGGCAAUGUAAACCAAAAGUUACUUGUAAAGAUAAUUGUACACAAUCUGCUAAAAAUAGUAUGCAUUCUUACCUAGAUAACUGAUUCAUCUGAGCCAGACAUGUUUUCAUUCUAAUCUGCAUUGCGAGAGUGUGUAAAAAUUUGGAUUGCACAAUCUCCAUAUAUGUUUCUUGACUCCGCAAGCAUUUUUCUGUUGUAAAAGUAGAAAGGUGAGAGGAGGAUGCCAUGCUUAAUGUGAAUCAGCAUCAGCGAACUGUUUUUCUAAUCGUUUAUUUCCCUUGUGAUGAUUUUCUAACUGAAUCCCUUCUGAUAUUUUCCUCAAACAGGUUCCAAAACUUUUACUUCAUAGGCUCUUUCCUAAUGUGCGCUAUUCAUUCUGGAUCGAUGGGAAAGUUAAACUUGUGAAGGAUACUUAUUAGCUAUUGGUGAGGUAAAUAUCAUCUUCUCUCACUGAGCUUCGUCUGCUACUUGUUGUAACUACUCUGCACAUAACUCAAUGAACAUUUAAGUAUGCCGUCAAAAAUUAGUUUGGUUGUUGCCAGUGCCACUUAUGCUCUAUCUGUUGUAUUAAGAUCCAAGCUGCACCAUAUAAUUACUCUAAUAUUUUCUCAAAGUCUGCUCUUAUCUGGAUCUUGUCUUAUUAUUCUCUGAUUCUACUUUCUUAAAUAAUUUAUUUGCUAAUAUUUUCCUUUUUAUGAUGAGUCAUGUCGACUAGGCUUAUUAUCUUGGUAGGUAUAUGUAGAUAGUUCAGUGUGAGCUUCAGCAGUGCAAACUAAACUUCCUAUUUAUAUAUUUUAUCUGUAGUAGUGGAUUGUGUUAAAAAUAAGUUUCAACAACAUGAACAUGGUAGGGGCGACAUAUUCUUUGCUCUCUCCCCGCGGUGGCGUCCAAGUCAACUUCUAGGGGACGUCAACCGAGGGUGCGGCUUGUAGGUGAGGGAGAUGAUGGCAGGCUUUUGUUCCCCUUGUGUUUAACCUUUUUCCCCAUCAACGACAUCAAUACCACAUACCAGCAAUCUGCUCUUGUUCGGAGCCGGACCCUAGGUCAGCAUUUUGCUGCCCUAUAUACAGUGUUCUGUUUUGUUAGACCAAUUCCUUUUCUCUAUUUUUCCUUGAUUGGUUAUCAUGGUUUUGGUUAAGGAUAUGCGUGGACAACUACAAUUACAAAACAGUCUGGGUUCAUGGUUGUCGAAUUGUUCUCAUUGGUUUGGAGGAACAUGCCUUGCUCUUGAUUUAAUCAUUGGAGCAACUGUUAGGAUUUGAAUCCAUUGGGUCUACAUACUUUGGCAUUCAAUCUUCUUAAAAGAUACAGGUGCAGGCCUCUCCUCUCUGCUGCAUCAUUGGUGGGGAUCUGUCCUGUCGAUGGAUACAUCCGGUGUCAACCUUUUGCGUUGCUCAUGUAACACAUGUUGAUGUUGCUCACUCCAUGAUCUGAUAGUUCAGUAUUUUUCAGAUGCCUACUAAACCUCCCAUGUUUAGUUUAGUUGUAGUACAAUAGUAGUGCAUGUUCGAAUUGUAUUGCCCUUUGCUUCAUCCAUUACUACAGAUCACAUUGACCUCUCCCUGGAAGGAAACAAAACCUUUGACAAAAUUUGAAGAAUGGUACCAUCCUAUAAGUUAAUGUAAAAGGUGUUAAUAUUGUAAUAAGGAACUGUACAAAUGGAACCAAAGUUUAGUUACAACUUAUUAAACGGUUUUGCUUGGUGAUGUCGUAUGUACUAUAUUGAUUUGUUUUUUUUUGUAAUCCGGGUCUUUUGUUAUCGAAUAAAAUCCUUAAGUUUGCUCUUCUCCUUUCCUUCCAUUAAAAUAAUCCGUCAUAUCAGGGUAAGAUACAUACCGGGAGAGCCUCAGCCUCCUCAGAGUUUAGCGCUUCCUGGCCGUCGGAUCUGGACCUUGAUGCGAUUUGGGCCGUCCGAUCUCGCUCUGGAGUGAGCCACACCGUCGGAUAAAAACGUGUUACUGUGGAUCGAAACAGUGUGCGCCCCGGGCUGCCACCGCGCGCGUAAUUUCUGGAUCCCGCCGAGGGCACAAGUGGCAAUUCGCGUCCAGGUCUGUCACGUGUCGGCGGCUGAUUCGUUCCUAGCGGGAGAGAGGUAAAUAUCUCCUGCCACCGCCGUGAUUCCAGUGACCCACCGAGGGCGUUAUCGUCUUUUCAGGCCUGUUGCGUGCUCGUCACUGGUUGGCCCGUCGGUGUGGAUGAGGUGAGGGCGCCGGCUGCCUUGACUCUUCGUCCUCCCAUUCGCCCCCCUCGUUGGUGAGAACCUAGCCGCCUCUUCCCCGUCGCAUUCCUCUCUCUGCUGCUCGCGCCGCGGUCGCCAUCGAGGGCUUGCCGCCCGCGUCGCCGCUUCCCCGUCGAGCUCGCGCGUCACGUCGUCGAGAGAAGGCCAGGCGGAGCGAUAGGAGGAGGCCAAGCGGAGUGCGCCAGACGGUGUGCGUCGUUUCCAUGGCUGCGCGCUGGGCGACUCCGACACCUCCGUCUCAUCCCUCCCAACCCGAUGAGGAGGCCGAGCCGCCACCUGCUGCCGGCCCUCGGGCCGUCUUGCUCGACCAUGCCCAGGGCGCGCCUUCGGCGAGGCCUCCUGCUCCGAGCAGAGGGCGCACAAACGACCGGGGCAGAGGAGGAGACCCAGGCGGAGCACGCCAUCUCUGUCGACCGGAGGAGCACCAGGUAUUUAACUUACGCAAGCAAGGCCGUGAGAGGGAGAUAGAAGGAGAAGCAGAGGCAGAAGCAAGAGGAAGGAGAACCUCGAGGUGUUGCGGCGCUCGGGCCUUGGUCAACUAUGCCGCCCCUUCGCUCUCGCGCCGCCAGGGCCCUCUUGCUCUUAGGACGAGCUUGGCUGAUUUCAUGGUCCUGUUGCGAUUGGUUCCGGAUCUGACCGCACACCUCCCGUCUGUCGCCGCCGUUUGCUCGCUCGCCGCCAUCAGAAAGGUUGGUUGUGAGGGUUUGGUGCCAGGGUCGUUGCUGGGUCCGUGGCUGUUGUUCCUUCAGAUUUGGCCAUCUUUCCUCCUGCAUCUCCAACGAAGGUGCUCUUCUUCAUGGCCCACUCUUUGAGAGGUUUAUUGGUUAGUUUGCUGUACCUGCCAACUGUGAAAUCCAGGAGGAUUUGUGAUUCCUGUUGUCAUUUGGUUUGUCAUUAUUUGCCAUUUGCAUGUGUGGUCAGAUCCAAGUGUAUUUGAUUGGUCUGUAUACGAUAUGUAAGGUUGAUGAUUGUCCUAUACAUGUUUGGUUUAGUACUGUGAGCUGUGCAGGUAGUAAGUUUAGGGCUGAACAUGUAGAGAUGGGGGUACUGUGUUAGUUUAGGACUGAACAUGUAGAGAUGGGGGUACUGUGUGAACAUUAAAUCCCAUUAGGCAAUUCAAAUCUUGGCGAAUACGACAACCCAGUUUUAGGAGCUAUUGUUCUCAGCUUCUUCCAAGUUGAAUUCGAUUAAAAAGUGGAUGUCAUGUUUCUCUAAUGAGCACCAGAAAAUGUUUUCUUUGCAAUGCCAUUGUUGUAGGGUUCUGACAUAACCUGUUCUCCCAAAAUUUGUUCUAAGCAUAUUUAAAGGUUUUCUUAUUACUAUAUCUUGAUCAUGGUUAUAUUCUUUAAUAGCCACCAUAGUACUGAUUGGUGACUGGUUUUUGGAACAUAUGUUGCCAAUCAAAAGAUUUGGAAUACAAUUGAUGUAUGAAGAUCUAUUUGCUGAUUGCCUUAACGCAGAAGGAGAGUCUCACUGCAACUGCUGGAGCACAUAAACCACCCUUUCUUCUCAGUUUUGAUUUGAAAACCACUCAUACUCUAUUUGCAGAUUGCCUUAACGCAGAAGGAGAGUCUCCUCUGCCACUGCUGGAGCACAUAAACCACCCUUUCGUCUCGGUUUUGAUUUGUAAACCACUCAUACUCUCCCAAAUAUGUCACCUAAUAUGGAAGCUAUAUAUCACCAAGUACAAUUCUGAGUUUCCUGUGCAAGAAUGAAGACCUCAGUUUGUGUAUUCCAUCCUGUACAGAUAACUGGUUACUACAUGCAGAAUCAUCCCAACUCCCUUGUUCCAUACUCUCUAGAAAUUCAGUUUACAAUAUGUUGAUUUGCAUCUUGUUUCUGCUACCUGGCACUGUACGCUUUAUAUGUUGUGGACUCGGUCUUCUGUAGCGAUUGUAAAGAUUGUUGCUAGCUCCUUUGAUUUGUGUGCUGCUCAACGGUGCGAAGUACCAUAUAAUUUCAUUUCAAGUCAGACACGAUUUCUUCUACCAUCAAAAGAUUCAUGUAAAUAAGCUUUGAAAACCUGACUUCUAUUCAGUCGUUGCAAGUAAUAUUUUCGGUAUGACAGACACAAUUAGCAUUCAGCAAAACAAGCUCGACAAGAUUUACGACACUAAGCCCACCAAGUGUCACCGAAAUGCUUCUACAAAUGACACAUUAUACAGACUGCUAACUUACAAGUUGUUUGUUACAUAUAGAUGCAUGUUCCUUGAUGUCAACUGAGUGCUGGGUACUCUCCCGCAACAAAUAAAUAUAUAACAAGAGAUUUAUACUGUCAUUUGAUUAGCCCCUGGUGUGGAAUCAGAAGGUCAGACAUUUGUUUUUGAGUUGAAUGGCUGCCCAGCUGUGUACGUAUGCACCAGAACAGAGCAUGGAAUGAAGGGGGCAGCUAGGGAGUUAUCAUGGUCCUUGCGGUUGUCAUUCCCAUGACUGUGCCAUUCGCGUUUGUACAGGUAUUUCUCAGUUCGCUAUACAGAGAUGGAGCUUGCAGAACACAUCAAUUUACCGGUCGAUGGCAUGUGGGCUCAACUCGUGUGUGGAUGCGCAGCGGGGCAAGUCCGCCUGAUGAAAGGUGUGGACGAAAGAGCGACAAUAACUACGGGGUUGGUCAAAGAUUGAAAGAAAUCUCUUAUGUGUCUUCGGCUUCGACACUACGCAUAGGAAGCCGUUGCUAAUAAUCCAAUCUUUGAAAAGGUUCAUGUGUUGUGGCGUAUGAAAUGUUGAACGUCAAGACGAUCAGGUGGAUCUAUCAACAAAUAUGUUUCUGUGGAACUACAUAGGUUCUUUGUUGCCCCUGUGGCUUGAUUUUUGUUGUAUGAAAAGUACAUUGUCUGUGUCAAACUUGAUGUGGAUUGACGAACGGUUCUACUGACAAAAUCCCUCAUGGUUGCUUUGCAUUUGCUACAUGUGAUUGCCUUGCCUUC
Molecule: long non-coding RNA, 6251 nt
Organism: Triticum dicoccoides
Lineage: Eukaryota; Viridiplantae; Streptophyta; Magnoliopsida; Poales; Poaceae
Exons: 10
Source: RefSeq, a predicted model, not a curated record